GAGGGGGACCUUCGGGCCUCUUGCCAUCGGAUGUGCCCAGAUGGGAUUAGCUAGUAGGUGGGGUAACGGCUCACCUAGGCGACGAUCCCUAGCUGGUCUGAGAGGAUGACCAGCCACACUGGAACUGAGACACGGUCCAGACUCCUACGGGAGGCAGCAGUGGGGAAUAUUGCACAAUGGGCGCAAGCCUGAUGCAGCCAUGCCGCGUGUAUGAAGAAGGCCUUCGGGUUGUAAAGUACUUUCAGCGGGGAGGAAGGGAGUAAAGUUAAUACCUUUGCUCAUUGACGUUACCCGCAGAAGAAGCACCGGCUAACUCCGUGCCAGCAGCCGCGGUAAUACGGAGGGUGCAAGCGUUAAUCGGAAUUACUGGGCGUAAAGCGCACGCAGGCGGUUUGUUAAGUCAGAUGUGAAAUCCCCGGGCUCAACCUGGGAACUGCAUCUGAUACUGGCAAGCUUGAGUCUCGUAGAGGGGGGUAGAAUUCCAGGUGUAGCGGUGAAAUGCGUAGAGAUCUGGAGGAAUACCGGUGGCGAAGGCGGCCCCCUGGACGAAGACUGACGCUCAGGUGCGAAAGCGUGUGGAGCAAACAGGAUUAGAUACCCUGGUAGUCCACGCCGUAAACGAUGUCGACUUGGAGGUUGUGCCCUUGAGGCGUGGCUUCCGGAGCUAACGCGUUAAGUCGACCGCCUGGGGAGUACGGCCGCAAGGUUAAAACUCAAAUGAAUUGACGGGGGCCCGCACAAGCGGUGGAGCAUGUGGUUUAAUUCGAUGCAACGCGAAGAACCUUACCUGGUCUUGACAUCCACGGAAGUUUUCAGAGAUGAGAAUGUGCCUUCGGGAACCGUGAGACAGGUGCUGCAUGGCUGUCGUCAGCUCGUGUUGUGAAAUGUUGGGUUAAGUCCCGCAACGAGCGCAACCCUUAUCCUUUGUUGCCAGCGGUCCGGCCGGGAACUCAAAGGAGACUGCCAGUGAUAAACUGGAGGAAGGUGGGGAUGACGUCAAGUCAUCAUGGCCCUUACGACCAGGGCUACACACGUGCUACAAUGGCGCAUACAAAGAGAAGCGACCUCGCGAGAGCAAGCGGACCUCAUAAAGUGCGUCGUAGUCCGGAUUGGAGUCUGCAACU
Molecule: ribosomal RNA, 1124 nt
Filed under: uncultured bacterium
Lineage: Bacteria
Description: bacterial SSU rRNA
Rfam family: Bacterial small subunit ribosomal RNA
Source: RNAcentral